This 447-nucleotide ribosomal RNA is filed under the name uncultured bacterium. Its description in RNAcentral is "bacterial SSU rRNA". It matches the Rfam family "Bacterial small subunit ribosomal RNA", at positions 29 to 521 of the family's 1533-position model. The record is from RNAcentral.
AGCGAACGCUGGCGGCAGGCUUAACACAUGCAAGUCGAACGGGCGUAGCAAUACGUCAGUGGCAGACGGGUGAGUAACGCGUGGGAACAUACCUCUUGGUUCGGAACAACACAGGGAAACUUGUGCUAAUACCGGAUAAGCCCUUACGGGGAAAGAUUUAUCGCCGAGAGAUUGGCCCGCGUCUGAUUAGCUAGUUGGUAGGGUAAUGGCCUACCAAGGCGACGAUCAGUAGCUGGUCUGAGAGGAUGAUCAGCCACAUUGGGACUGAGACACGGCCCAAACUCCUACGGGAGGCAGCAGUGGGGAAUAUUGGACAAUGGGCGCAAGCCUGAUCCAGCCAUGCCGCGUGAGUGAUGAAGGUCCUAGGGUUGUAAGACUCUUUUGUACGGGAAGAUAAUGACGGUACCGUAAGAUAAGCCCGGCUAACUUCGUGCCAGCAGCCGCGGU